Molecule: ribosomal RNA, 375 nt
Filed under: uncultured bacterium
Lineage: Bacteria
Description: bacterial SSU rRNA
Rfam family: Bacterial small subunit ribosomal RNA
Source: RNAcentral
AUACGUAGGGAGCAAGCGUUGUCCGGAUUUACUGGGUGUAAAGGGUGCGUAGGCGGCACUGCAAGUCAGGCGUGAAAUAUAUGGGCUUAACCCAUAGACUGCGUUUGAAACUGUGGUGCUUGAGUGAAGUAGAGGUAGGCGGAAUUCCCGGUGUAGCGGUGAAAUGCGUAGAGAUCGGGAGGAACACCAGUGGAGAAGGCGGCUUACUGGGCUUUAACUGACGCUGAGGCCAGAAAGCAUGGGUAGCAAACAGGAUUAGAUACCCUGGUAGUCCAUGCCGUAAACGAUGAUUACUAGGUGUGGGGGGUCUGACCCCUUCCUUGCCGGAGUUAACACAAUAAGUAAUCCACCUGGGGAGUACGGCCGCAAGGUUGA